RNAcentral lists this ribosomal RNA (469 nucleotides) under uncultured Bacteroides sp. RNAcentral describes it as "bacterial SSU rRNA". It matches the Rfam family "Bacterial small subunit ribosomal RNA", at positions 576 to 1050 of the family's 1533-position model. The record is from RNAcentral. Lineage: Bacteria; Pseudomonadati; Bacteroidota; Bacteroidia; Bacteroidales; Bacteroidaceae.
UGGAUUGUUAAGUCAGUUGUGAAAGUUUGCGGCUCAACCGUAAAAUUGCAGUUGAUACUGGCAGUCUUGAGUACAGUAGAGGUGGGCGGAAUUCGUGGUGUAGCGGUGAAAUGCUUAGAUAUCACGAAGAACUCCGAUUGCGAAGGCAGCUCACUGGACUGCAACUGACACUGAUGCUCGAAAGUGUGGGUAUCAAACAGGAUUAGAUACCCUGGUAGUCCACACAGUAAACGAUGAAUACUCGCUGUUUGCGAUAUACGGUAAGCGGCCAAGCGAAAGCGUUAAGUAUUCCACCUGGGGAGUACGCCGGCAACGGUGAAACUCAAAGGAAUUGACGGGGGCCCGCACAAGCGGAGGAACAUGUGGUUUAAUUCGAUGAUACGCGAGGAACCUUACCAGGGCUUAAAUGUAAGUUGCAUUAGUUAGAGAUAGCUAUUUCUUCGGACCACUUACAAGGUGCUGCAUGGUU